Molecule: transfer RNA, 66 nt
Filed under: chicken gut metagenome
Also listed under: 1 other name
Rfam family: tRNA
About the family: Transfer RNA (tRNA) molecules are approximately 80 nucleotides in length. Their secondary structure includes four short double-helical elements and three loops (D, anti-codon, and T loops).
Source: RNAcentral
GCCUUAGCUCAGUCGGUAGAGCGACGCUCUCGUAAAGCGUAGGUCGCCGGUUCGAUUCCGGCAGGC